UAAGAUAAAACACACUAUUGGGAGUUUGUAUAUUGAAAAUGAUAGGGUGAUGAUCUUAUUAGGUUUUUUUUUUUGGUAUAAUCUUCUUUUUAUUGUUUGCUAAUAAAAUUGAAGAGAUUGAUAUAAUAACAUGGAGAAAUGGACCUUCGCCUGGAAUUAAAAACAAAGUCUGGGUUUCAUGUUUCUGUGACACUCUGCACCAACAUCACCACAACAAGGAACGUGCGACUCACGUGCGCCAUUCUCUGUCUCUCUCCAGCUACGUGGUCUGCUUUCACUCCCCUCGCUCUUCGGACUUCGUGAGUUUCAUCGCUUUUUAAGUUUUAACUAUAGCUAUUUUUCUUUAAUCUCUUUCGUAUUGUUGCUCCUCACUAUUACCCACCCAUAUCCCCUGAAAAACAAAUCAUGAGUUUAGACUUUUAAUGAAACGUAAACAAUGGUUUAUUCGGGGGCUAGUAAUAUGUUAGCUUCAUGAUAGGGCGUGACAUUUAGUCAAAUUAAAUUACUAGUAACAUUAGACUAUUAUUGCCAUUGGAUAGGAGAAAACAAAAAUAUGCGCAAUCAAAACGGAUUUCAUAGCUGUAAGGAAUCGAAACUAACCUAGUUAUAUUAUCUAUGUAGUAGAGUUUGUGUCUUUCUCGGAAGGUACGGAUUUAAUGUACGUUUUCUUAGCUGACAGCACAUAUCUUAAAUCUCGUACGAAUAGAAUAGUAGUACUUGCUUCUUCAUAUGAUCAUCAUGUAAUUAAAAGACGAUUAUUAGAAGAAAAAAAACAUAUUAAAAGAGAAAACGAUACGGAUACGUGCACACACCUUAACACAUUCAAAAACCCA
Molecule: long non-coding RNA, 833 nt
Filed under: Capsella rubella
Lineage: Eukaryota; Viridiplantae; Streptophyta; Magnoliopsida; Brassicales; Brassicaceae
Description: long non-coding RNA (CRUB_LNC001214)
Source: RNAcentral